GUUAUAUGGUCAAGCGACCAAGCGUAUACGGUGGAUGCCUUGGCAGUCAGAGGCGAUGAAGGACGUGGCAGCCUGCGAAAAGUGUCGGGGAGCUGGCAACAAGCUUUGAUCCGGCAAUGUCCGAAUGGGGAAACCCACUCCGCAAGGAGUACUGCAUGGUGAAUACAUAGCCAUGCAGGGCGAACCCGGGGAACUGAAAUAUCUAAGUACCCGGAGGAAAAGAAAUCAACCGAGAUUCCGUCAGUAGCGACGAGCGAACGCGGACUAGCCCAAAAGCAUCUAGUGUUUUAGCCGAACGGUUUGGAAAGGCCGGCCAUAGCGGGUGAUAGCCCCGUAGGCGAAAGGGCAUUAGAUGUGAAAUUGAGUAAGGCGGGGCACGAGAAACCCUGUCUGAACAUGGGGGGACCAUCCUCCAAGGCUAAAUACUCCUGACUGACCGAUAGCGAACUAGUACCGUGAGGGAAAGGCGAAAAGAACCCCGGAGAGGGGAGUGAAAUAGACCCUGAAACCGUAUACGUACAAGCAGUGGAAGCCCGCAAGGGUGACUGCGUACCUUUUGUAUAAUGGGUCAGCGACUUACUGUCAGUGGCAAGCUUAACCGUAUAGGGGAGGCGAAGGGAAACCGAGUCUGAAUAGGGCGCAUAGUCUCUGGCAGUAGACCCGAAACCGAGUGAUCUAUCCUUGGCCAGGUUGAAGGUGCGGUAACACGCACUGGAGGACCGAACCCACAUCUGUUGCAAUAGAUGGGGAUGAGCUGAGGAUAGGAGUGAAAGGCUAAACAAACUCGGAGAUAGCUGGUUCUCCUCGAAAGCUAUUUAGGUAGCGCCUCGUAUGAAUCUUCCUGGGGGUAGAGCACUGUUAUGGCUAGCGGGCCAUCGCGGCUUAGUAAACCAUGGCAAACUCCGAAUACCAGGACAGAAUGUACGGGAGACACACGGCGGGUGCUAACGUCCGUCGUGAAAAGGGAAACAACCCAGACCCGCAGCUAAGGUCCCAAAGUUAUAGCUAAGUGGAAAACGAUGUGGAAAGGCAUAGACAGCCAGGAGGUUGGCUUAGAAGCAGCCACCCUUUAAAGAAAGCGUAAUAGCUCACUGGUCGAGUCGGUCUGCGCGGAAGAUUUAACGGGGCUAAGCUAUACACCGAAGCUCGGGGUGCACACGCAAGUGUGCGCGGUAGAGGAGCGUUCCGUAAGCCUGUGAAGGUGAGUUGAGAAGCUUGCUGGAGGUAUCGGAAGUGCGAAUGCUGACAUGAGUAACGAUAAUGGGGGUGAAAAGCCCCCACGCCGAAAGCCCAAGGUUUCCUCGCGCAACGUUCAUCGGCGCAGGGUGAGUCGGCCCCUAAGGCGAGGCAGAAAUGCGUAGUCGAUGGGAAGCUGGUUAAUAUUCCAGCACUUGUCUGUAGUGCGAUGUGGGGACGGAGAAGGUUAGGUCUACCGGGCGUUGGUUGUCCCGGGGAAAGGCGGUAGGCAUGAGGGUUAGGCAAAUCCGGCCCUCUUUAUGCCGAGCACCGAGACGAGCCCUUUUGGGCGAAGUGACUGAUACCACGCUUCCAGGAAAAGCCACUAAGCUUCAGCUACAGAGAAACCGUACCGUAAACCGACACUGGUAGGCAGGGUGAGAAUCCCAAGGCGCUUGAGAGAACUCGGGUGAAGGAACUAGGCAAAAUGGCACCGUAACUUCGGGAGAAGGUGCGCCCUUUUUGGUGGUCACGUGCGUGACUGAGCUGAGAAGGGUCGCAGUAACCUGGCCGCUGCGACUGUUUAUCAAAAACACAGCACUCUGCAAACACGAAAGUGGACGUAUAGGGUGUGACGCCUGCCCGGUGCUGGAAGGUUAAUUGAUGGGGUCAGCCGCAAGGCGAAGCUCUUGAUCGNUUAUGCCGAGCACCGAGACGAGUCCUUUUGGACGAAGUGACUGAUACUACGCUUCCAGGAAAAGCCACUAAGCUUCAGCUACAGAGAAACCGUACCGUAAACCGACACUGGUAGGCAGGGUGAGAAUCCCAAGGCGCUUGAGAGAACUCGGGUGAAGGAACUAGGCAAAAUGGCACCGUAACUUCGGGAGAAGGUGCGCCCUCCGAUGUGGUGACGUGCGUCACUGAGCAUUAGAGGGUCGCAGUAACCUGGCCGCUGCGACUGUUUAUCAAAAACACAGCACUCUGCAAACACGAAAGUGGACGUAUAGGGUGUGACGCCUGCCCGGUGCUGGAAGGUUAAUUGAUGGGGUCAGCCGCAAGGCGAAGCUCUUGAUCGAAGCCCCAGUAAACGGCGGCCGUAACUAUAACGGUCCUAAGGUAGCGAAAUUCCUUGUCGGGUAAGUUCCGACCUGCACGAAUGGCGUAACGACAGCGGCGCUGUCUCCACCCGAGACUCAGUGAAAUUGAAAUCGCUGUGAAGAUGCAGCGUUCCCGCGGCAAGACGGAAAGACCCCGUGAACCUUUACUACAGCUUCACACUGAACGUUGAGUUCUUCUGUGUAGGAUAGGUGGGAGGCUAUGAAACCGAGACGCUAGUUUCGGUGGAGCCAUCCUUGAAAUACCACCCUGAAGUGCUUGACGUUCUAACCUAGGUCCGUAAUCCGGAUCAGGGACCGUGUGUGGUGGGUAGUUUGACUGGGGCGGUCUCCUCCCAAAGAGUAACGGAGGAGCACGAAGGUACGCUCAGCGCGGUCGGACAUCGCGCACUGUGUGCAAAGGCAUAAGCGUGCUUGACUGCGAGAUCGACGGAUCAAGCAGGUACGAAAGUAGGUCUUAGUGAUCCGGUGGUUCUGUAUGGAAGGGCCAUCGCUCAACGGAUAAAAGGUACUCCGGGGAUAACAGGCUGAUACCGCCCAAGAGUUCAUAUCGACGGCGGUGUUUGGCACCUCGAUGUCGGCUCAUCACAUCCUGGGGCUGUAGCCGGUCCCAAGGGUAUGGCUGUUCGCCAUUUAAAGUGGUACGCGAGCUGGGUUCAGAACGUCGUGAGACAGUUCGGUCCCUAUCUGUCGUGGGCGUUGGAGAUUUGAGGGGGGCUGCUCCUAGUACGAGAGGACCGGAGUGGACGUUCCGCUGGUGUUCGGGUUGUCAUGCCCAUGGCAUUGCCCGGUAGCUACGAACGGAAGUGAUAACCGCUGAAAGCAUCUAAGCGGGAAGCACGCCCCAAGAUGAGAUCUCCCGAGACUUCGAGUCUCCUUAAGGCACCAUCAAGACUAGGUGGUUGAUAGGCGCGGUGUGGAAGUGCAGCAAUGCAUUGAGCUUACGCGUACUAAUGAGCCGUGCGGCUUGACCAUAUAACCCCAAG
Molecule: ribosomal RNA, 3277 nt
Filed under: Dyella soli
Lineage: Bacteria; Pseudomonadati; Pseudomonadota; Gammaproteobacteria; Lysobacterales; Rhodanobacteraceae
Description: 23S ribosomal RNA
Rfam family: Bacterial large subunit ribosomal RNA
Source: RNAcentral